This 756-nucleotide ribosomal RNA is filed under the name uncultured bacterium. RNAcentral describes it as "bacterial SSU rRNA". It matches the Rfam family "Bacterial small subunit ribosomal RNA", at positions 8 to 796 of the family's 1533-position model. The record is from RNAcentral.
AGAGUUUGAUCCUGGCUCAGAAUCAACGCUGGCGGCGUGCCUAACACAUGCAAGUCGCACGAGAAAGGGGAGCAAUCCCUGAGUAAAGUGGCGUACGGGUGAGUAACACGUGACUAACCUACCCUUGAGUGGGGAAUAACUGAGGGAAACCUUAGCUAAUACCGCAUAACACCUACGGGUCAAAGGAGCAAUUCGCUCGAGGAGGGGGUCGCGGCCGAUUAGUUAGUUGGCGGGGUAAUGGCCCACCAAGACUGUGAUCGGUAUCCGGCCUGAGAGGGUGCACGGACACACUGGAACUGAAACACGGUCCAGACUCCUACGGGAGGCAGCAGUGGGGAAUUUUGCGCAAUGGGGGAAACCCUGACGCAGCAACGCCGCGUGGAGGAUGAAGUCCUUCGGGACGUAAACUCCUUUCGAUCGGGACGAUAAUGACGGUACCGGAAGAAGAAGCCCCGGCUAACUUCGUGCCAGCAGCCGCGGUAAUACGAGGGGGGCGAGCGUUGUUCGGAAUUAUUGGGCGUAAAGGGUGCGUAGGCGGUUUGGUAAGUCUUAUGUGAAAUCUAUGGGCUCAACUCAUAGACUGCAUGAGAAACUGCCGGGCUGGAGUGUGGGAGAGGUGAGUGGAAUUCCCGGUGUAGCGGUGAAAUGCGCAGAUAUCGGAAGGAACACCUGUGGCGAAAGCGGCUCACUGGACCAUAACUGACGCUGAUGCACGAAAGCUAGGGGAGCAAACAGGAUUAGAUACCCUAGUAGUCC